CCUACGGGUGGCAGCAGUGGGGAAUAUUCCACAAUGGGGGAAACCCUGAUGCAGCGACGCCGCGUGAGUGAAGAAGUAAUUCGUUAUGUAAAGCUCUAUCAGCAGGGAAGAAAAUGACGGUACCUGAGUAAGACGCCCCGGCUAACUACGUGCCAGCAGCCGCGGUAAUACGUAGGGGGCAAGCGUUACCCGGAUUUACUGGGGGGAAAGGGAGCGUAGAGGGCAGUGCAAGUCUGGAGGGAAAGGCGGGGGCUCAACCCACGGACUGCUCUGGAAACUGUACGGCUGGAGUGCAGGAGGGGGAAGUGGAAUUCCUAGUGUAGCGGUGAAAUGCGUAGAUAUAAGGAGGAACACCAGUGGCGAAAGCGGCUUACUGGACUGUAACUGACGUUGAGGCUCGAAAGCGUGGGGAGCAAACAGGAUUAGAUACCCGAGUAGUC
This 440-nucleotide ribosomal RNA is filed under the name uncultured bacterium. RNAcentral's name for it is "partial 16S ribosomal RNA". It matches the Rfam family "Bacterial small subunit ribosomal RNA", at positions 338 to 795 of the family's 1533-position model. The record is from RNAcentral.